Molecule: long non-coding RNA, 2015 nt
Organism: Pyrus x bretschneideri (Chinese white pear)
Lineage: Eukaryota; Viridiplantae; Streptophyta; Magnoliopsida; Rosales; Rosaceae
Exons: 3
Source: RefSeq, a predicted model, not a curated record
UAUAGCGCCAUAAUGAAAUAUCAAACUAGUGAAAUUCUAGACCAUUCCACUUCACCUUUCCCUUUUCUUUCUCUUUGCCCUUCAGAUUGUUUGUUUCUUUCAUACCACCGUGACCUAACAGGAAGACCAUCUCCUUUCUGGCGUGCAUGUCAUACCCAGAUUUAUUUACCCAGACAACAAACCCCUCUCUCCAUCACUUUGUCGCAAUCCAUGGCCUCAUCCCCAUGUCGUUUGCUGUCCACCACCAAAAAUUCAAGAACCUAGGACAUCUAUUCCACCAAAACUCAAAUCGACACCUAAAUCUUCCUUUCCCAAACACAUGAGACCGCCGUUUUUCUCCCAAUGUUUUAAGGUACUUUCCUCCAGCAACCCCUCCACCUACACAUUCACACUCCACAGCCUCCAAUUUGGGUUUGAUUUUUCUAAAUCUAUAUGUAUUUGUGCCUGGCUUUUAUUCUGUGAUUGGGGAUUUUUUAACUUGAUUUAUUAUUACAUAUGGAGGAUUUUUUUAAUCAGUUUUCUAUUUUUAUUUUUCAGUAUUUUUCUUUUUGCUAUGAAUCGGUAGGAUGAAAUUAUUUUUCUAGGAUGCUUCUGUUUUUCUUGUUGUUUAAAGGUACAAUCUUUCUGGCUUGUUGUUUAUACAAAUUAAUAAAAAAAAAAGAAGGUUUAGUAAUUUUGGGCUUUGUAGAUGCUUUGAAAUUGAACCAUACAUAAUCGUUUAAGCUACCACUUUAUACUUUACAGUCAAUUCCAAGAGCUAUCGUUUAUAUUUUAUGGAGAAGCGAUUUUAUUAUGUGAGGUUCUCUUUGAAUCCAGAGCAGUGAGUGCUCUAUACUUGAGUAGUUUUAAAAAUUAAAAACAUAAGCUACUGUUUAUUGGAUAUUAGGAUAUUAUAAUGCUUUCUAUUGUAGCGUUUAUCUUUUAGUUGCUCUGCAUUGUAAUCCUACACGUCCUGGAGGCUUAUCUUCUCAUGUUGCUUGUGUAUACCAAUACUUGUAUCACUCAUACAAAAAUCAAUGAAUCAAUCGCUUUUUACUAAUGAUGGAAUUGUGCUUAUUGGUUAUAUUUGGUUUUUGGGAUCACUAUCUAAUCCAUAGUUUGUAAUACACUUCAAUAUUUUUUUUUUCUUUUUUUUGUGUUUUUGGGCUUCUACAUUUGGAUCUUUCUGAAUGUUUGGUUAAUUCAUUUUUUUAUAUUAAUUUUCAAUUAUAGGUUGAUACUUGGUUGCUUGACUUCUAACCUUUUUAUUGGCUCAUAUGAGGAAUUGGGUGCGUGCUGUAUUCUCUUUGUUGUGAUGGACUUUUGUUUGAAAUUUUCGUUGAAGUUCUUGUUUCACUAAAGUCUACUUGCUUUGUUUUUUAAAUGGGAUUGAGUAUUUUAGGUUUCACUGUUUUUUUUUUUUUUUAGGAAUGGUCUCUUCGUGUACGGUUAGGUACACUAAUAUAGAAAUGGUCCAAAGAUCUAAAUAGCCUGGGCACCAAACAACUUUUGUCAAUCCAUUUCUGUCCUUUGUAGGUCGCUCAUGCUAUUCGUUAGAUCACCAUCUAUAUUUCCAAGUGCAAUGACAAAUAUAUACAGGUUAAGUGAUUUAAUAACUUAAAUAAGUGUUAAUAUGCCCACCUUUAAGUGUAUUGUAGGAAUUGUAUUAGCACUUUUUUUCUUGUUAUAAUGUCUUUUUUUUUUUUUGUAAAUUAUAAACUUAUAUAUGCAUUUGAACAACAUUUGGGUUACCUAAUCUUUUUUAUUGAGUGAAACAGUUUUUGAUAGGUAUGUUGGAAAUGAUUCCUUCCCAAAUCUAGAGCGACCUCCACGUCACAUGGGGUACUCAGCAAGGUUCUACUUUUGCAAAAGAGAUGGGGAUGUUACAGACUUACAGUGAUACUGCAACCCAAAUAAUCUGUUUUCAAAAUCCAAAUAAUCUGUGAUAUGUUAUAGUAGUAGUAGAAUAACACUGGGGCAUAGCCUAGUACUUAAAUUAUUGACUUUGUUGCUUAGCCUAGUACUAUGUGGGGGCG